Molecule: long non-coding RNA, 262 nt
Organism: Osmia lignaria (orchard mason bee)
Lineage: Eukaryota; Metazoa; Arthropoda; Insecta; Hymenoptera; Megachilidae
Source: RefSeq, a predicted model, not a curated record
AAUAAAGUCUACAAUUUUUCAGAAGUGGGAUAUUAUGGGAUAUUAAGUGGGACCACUCUUACAUAAUGUUCACCGAAUCGUCGUGAAUAUUUUUAACAGACGACGAUUGAGUGCUGCAGUGUGACAGCACCUUCUCGGUAAUGGGUCUUCCGACAGACGCAACCAUUUUGACAAAGACAAUCUGGUUUACAUGGGGAAAAACGGGAGUUCUACGUGACCGCUGUCCUGGACGUUUCCCACUAGAUCGUACCGCAUCAUAAAC